CAGCAGCCGCGGGAAUACGGAGGGUGCAAGCGUUACUCGGAAUCACUGGGCGUAAAGGACGCGUAGGCGGAUUAUCAAGUCUCUUGUGAAAUCUAACGGCUUAACCGUUAAACUGCUUGGGAAACUGAUAAUCUAGAGUAAGGGAGAGGCAGAUGGAAUUCUUGGUGUAGGGGUAAAAUCCGUAGAUAUCAAGAAGAAUACCUAUUGCGAAGGCGAUCUGCUGGAACUUAACUGACGCUAAUGCGUGAAAGCGUGGGGAGCAAACAGGAUUAGAGACCCCGGUAGUCCCUGUCUCUUAUAC
Molecule: ribosomal RNA, 301 nt
Filed under: uncultured bacterium
Lineage: Bacteria
Description: partial 16S ribosomal RNA
Rfam family: Bacterial small subunit ribosomal RNA
Source: RNAcentral